Molecule: long non-coding RNA, 695 nt
Filed under: Marmota monax (woodchuck)
Lineage: Eukaryota; Metazoa; Chordata; Mammalia; Rodentia; Sciuridae
Source: RNAcentral
CUCUGGUCCUGGACAGACUCUGUCCCCUCCAGGGCCAGCAGUCUGCACCUCAGUUCUACCUGACUCGGGCAUGGUGUUGGGACACCUGACCAAAGUCACCCUCCCCAACUGCUUCCCAAUCCAAGGGGCCAAUGUCCUUGACAUUGUAGAUUAGGGACCUAGAGGCUAGAAACCCUCCAAGGGAGGGGCGUCCCAGAGCCCUGCUUCUUAAGGAAGGAGUAAGAAAUGGAGAUGUGUCCUGGGAAGGCUCAGGACGUGGGUCAGUGCCACGCAUGGCUGCUGUUUUGUUAGGCACUGAGCCUGGUCCUUAGGAGCCAAGCAGGGAAGGACAGCCCUGAUGCGGAUCCUUCUCAGGAUUGGGCCCAGCGUGGGUCAGUUGGUGGAGUGUUAAAAGUGGAGGUCAGCCAUGCUGGGCUCGAAGCCUGGGUUUAGUCUGUGUGAAUUCAUUUAGGAUUUCUCUCUCUCCUCAUCCUGAAAUGGAGUUAGCGCCCACUUUGAGGGCAGUGCUCUGGUGCCAAAGAGAUGAAAUGGGAGCCACCAAGUGUAGACCCAGUUCUGACCCCUGCAUUUGGAAGGUUCCCUGUCUUUGAAAAGGUUCAUUGCCCAGAGGAGCCUGCUGCAAAGCAGUGGCCUACACACCACAGGAAAUCUGGGAGGACAAAAAGAAGUGCUUCAUGAUAAGCACUGAGGGAUCC